GAGUUGUAAUUUGCAGAGGGCGCUUUGGCAUUGGCAGCGGUCCAAGUUCCUUGGAACAGGACGUCACAGAGGGUGAGAAUCCCGUACGUGGUCGCUAGCCUUUACCGUGUAAAGCCCCUUCGACGAGUCGAGUUGUUUGGGAAUGCAGCUCUAAAUGGGAGGUAAAUUUCUUCUAAAGCUAAAUACUGGCCAGAGACCGAUAGCGCACAAGUAGAGUGAUCGAAAGAUGAAAAGCACUUUGGAAAGAGAGUUAAAAAGCACGUGAAAUUGUUGAAAGGGAAGCGCUUGCAGCCAGACUUGCCUGUAGUUGCUCAUCCGGGUUUCUACCCGGUGCACUCUUCUAUAGGCAGGCCAGCAUCAGUUUGGGCGGUUGGAUAAAGGUCUCUGUCAUGUACCUCCUUUCGGGGAGAACUUAUAGGGGAGACGACAUGCAACCAGCCUGGACUGAGGUCCGCGCAUCUGCUAGGAUGCUGGCGUAAUGGCUGUAAGCGGCCCGUCUUGAAACACGGACCAAGGAGUCUAACAUCUAUGCGAGUGUUUGGGUGUCAAGCCCGAGCGCGUAAUGAAAGUGAACGGAGGUGGGAACCUUUCGGGGUGCACCAUCGACCGAUCCUGAUGUCUUCGGAUGGAUUUGAGUAAGAGCAUAGCUGUUGGGACCCGAAAGAUGGUGAACUAUGCUUGAAUAGGGUGAAGCCAGAGGAAACUCUGGUGGAGGCUCGCAGCGGUUCUGACGUGCAAAUCGAUCGUCAAAUUUGGGCAUAGGGGCGAAAGACUAAUCGAACUAUCUAGUAGCUGGUUCCUGCCGAAGUUUCCCUCAGGAUAGCAGUAACGUUUUCAGUUUUAUGAGGUAAAGCGAAUGAUUAGAGGCCUGGGGGUUGAAACAACCUUCACCUAUUCUCAAACUUUAAAUAUGUAAGAAGUCCUUGUUACUUGAUUGAACGUGGACAGUUGAAUGUAUCGUUACUAGUGGGCCAUUUUUGGUAAGCAGAACUGGCGAUGCGGGAUGAACCGAACGCGGGGUUAAGGUGCCAGAAUAUACGCUCAUCAGACACCACAAAAGGUGUUAGUUCAUCUAGACAGCAGGACGGUGGCCAUGGAAGUCGGAAUCCGCUAAGGAGUGUGUAACAACUCACCUGCCGAAUGAACUAGCCCUGAAA
Molecule: ribosomal RNA, 1157 nt
Filed under: Nothophoma quercina
Lineage: Eukaryota; Fungi; Ascomycota; Dothideomycetes; Pleosporales; Didymellaceae
Description: eukaryotic LSU rRNA
Rfam family: Eukaryotic large subunit ribosomal RNA
Source: RNAcentral